This 253-nucleotide ribosomal RNA is filed under the name uncultured bacterium. Its description in RNAcentral is "partial 16S ribosomal RNA". It matches the Rfam family "Bacterial small subunit ribosomal RNA", at positions 524 to 776 of the family's 1533-position model. The record is from RNAcentral.
UACGAAGGGGGCUAGCGUUGUUCGGAAUCACUGGGCGUAAAGCGCACGUAGGCGGAUUGUUAAGUCGGGGGUGAAAUCCUGAGGCUCAACCUCAGAACUGCCUUCGAUACUGUCAAUCUCGAGUCCGGAAGAGGUUGGUGGAACAGCUAGUGUAGAGGUGAAAUUCGUAGAUAUUAGCUAGAACACCAGUGGCGAAGGCGGCCAACUGGUCCGGUACUGACGCUGAGGUGCGAAAGCGUGGGGAGCAAACAGG